RNA transcript from Delphinapterus leucas (beluga whale), 3166 nucleotides. It is a transcript of the gene named BEN domain containing 5, with no coding region annotated. The record is from RefSeq and is a predicted model, not a curated record. NCBI's taxonomy places the organism in Eukaryota, Metazoa, Chordata, Mammalia, Artiodactyla, Monodontidae.
CCACCUCCGCGCCCGCCCCGCGGGCUGACCGGCCGACCGGGGCCCGCCCCCGGCGCCCACCAUGUACGCCUUUGUGCGGUUCCUGGAGGACAACGUCUGCUACGCGCUGCCUGUGUCGUGCGUGCGCGACUUCAGCCCCCGCUCGCGGCUGGAUUUUGACAACCAGAAGGUGUACGCCGUGUACCGGGGCCCGGAAGAACUGGGCGCCGGGCCCGAGAGCCCCCCGCGCGCCCCCCGCGACUGGGGCGCGCUGCUGCUCCACAAGGCCCAGAUCUUGGCGCUGGCAGAAGACAAAUCUGACCUUGAAAACAGUGUGAUGCAGAAGAAAAUAAAAAUCCCCAAACUUUCUCUCAAUCAUGUAGAAGAAGAUGGGGAAGUUAAAGAUUACGGGGAAGAAGAUUUACAGCUUAGACACAUCAAGAGACCCGAGGGGCGGAAGCCGAGUGAAGUGGCGCACAAGAGCAUCGAGGCAGUGGUGGCCCGGCUGGAGAAGCAGAACGGCCUGAGCCUGGGCCACAGCACAUGUCCGGAAGAGGUCUUCGUGGAGGCCUCACCGGGCCCAGAGGACAUGGACAGUCUGGAGGACGCCGGUGUGCCCCGGGCUCUGUAUGAGGAGCUGCUGCGCAACUACCAGCAGCAGCAGGACGAGAUGCGCCACCUCCAGCAGGAGCUGGAGCGGACUCGCAGGCAGCUGGUUCAGCAGGCUAAGAAGCUCAAGGAGUACGGGGCGCUGGUGUCCGAGAUGAAGGAGCUCCGCGACCUCAACCGGAGGCUGCAGGACGUGCUGCUCCUGAGGCUGGGCAGUGGUCCCGCCAUUGACUUGGAAAAAGUAAAGUCAGAAUGUCUCGAGCCCGAGCCGGAGUUACGGAGCACUUUCAGUGAGGAAGCAAAUACGUCGUCCUAUUACCCCGCUCCUGCACCUGUCAUGGACAAGUAUAUCCUAGACAAUGGCAAGGUCCAUCUGGGAAGCGGGAUUUGGGUUGAUGAGGAGAAAUGGCACCAGCUACAAGUAACCCAAGGAGAUUCCAAGUACACAAAGAACUUGGCAGUCAUGAUUUGGGGAACAGAUGUUCUGAAGAACAGAAGCGUCACAGGAGUUGCCACAAAAAAAAAGAAAGAUGCAGUCCCUAAGCCACCCCUCUCGCCUCACAAACUAAGCAUCGUCAGAGGCCCAGCGCAGUGCCAGUACCAGGUAGAUGCUUGGUGUGUCCAUGUGUAAAGGCAGGAUUCACGGUCCUUUUCCUGGCUGCCCAGUGGACCUGUAGACAUUUGUAUGUUCUUUGGACCCCAUUCAGAUGAUGUCAUUUGCAGCUAAUCUGGUCCCCAAUACUAAGGAACAUUCUAGAAGAAAAUACCUCAGCUGUGUGUCUUGGGGCUAUUACAGGCUCACUGUCUUCAGGCCCAUAGGCCAGGCCCUCCAAGUUUCCCUCACUGAUCCACUCCUCCAUUUUCUAAGCCCUUUUUAAACCUUCUCUACUCUUCCAGAACAUGGUAGUCCACAGCUCUCUCUUUUUCAAAAGAUGACCAUGUCUCUUCCUUCACAGAGAAAAGAAAAAGAAAUCCCACAGCUUCGAACCACCCUAUCUACAAACUUCACUGGAUCCCCCAGUCUUCUGCCUCAUGUUUCCUUCUCUUAUUUGGGACUGGCCGUUCUCUCCAACUGGAUCACAGCCCACCUGCCUUCCUAAGUACCUUGUCUCUCCUGCUCAACUGGGUCCUUCCCGGCACCAUUUAAAUAUACUUUGAUCACUCAUUUCUUACAGAAGCAAACAAAACACUCCCUAGACGUCACUUCCAUCACCCAGCUGCCGCCAUGUCUCUCCGUUCGUUUUCACAUCCAGGUUUCCUGAAAGAGUUGUCUGCAUUCACUGCCCGUGUGCACUGGGAACGCCCCUGCCAUCUGGCAUCGGCUCCCAGCCCUCUGCUUAACUCUGUCCUUGCCAGGCUUCCCCGUGGCUCCGCCUCUACCUCUUCCCCGGCCGUUUGACCUGAUCCCUCCUCCUUUACUGAGAAACCCUCCUGCAUGCUGAGGUCUCCUCCUGCCUGUGGCUUCGCAUCCCCCCUGUGGGCUCCCCUCCCGCUGCCCUCGCCUCUGUCUCCAGCCCGCUUCUCUCUCACUCUGCAACGCUGCCCUCCGCUGCUCUCACCGUCCCCAUUGCCCUCGGUGUGCUCACGGCCCUGCGUUGAAAUCCACACUCCUGGCGUCUUGGCUGCUGCCUGGUGAUCUGGCCUCUGGUGACUCCCCUGGCCUCAUCUCACACCACACUUCCCAUUUCCACUGUGCUCUAACCACUGAGGCCUUCUCCCGGCCCCCUCCUGUCCCCACUGCCAGCAGUGCCCUUCCUCUGGUCUGCACAUCCUGCCUCCUUGUCAUUCAGAGAGGCCGUCCCCGACCGCCCGGGCUGAUGAAGUAGCCCUUCCAUUGCUCUCUGUCACAUCACCCUCCCUAAAGUCCCUGCGGAGCACUUCUUCUUUGCUUGUUUAUUGCUUGAUGGUUGUCUUUUUUCCCCGCCUCCAUUAGAACAUCAGAUUUAUGAGCAUCUUGCUCAGGGCCAGCAUAUAGUCAGUGUUCAAUAAAUAUUUGUUGAAUCAGUGACUGAUUCCCAAAUCUAUAUUUGACCUCAGUUCACACUUCCACGUUCCCGACCCAUACAUCCAGGUGCCCACUGGUCACCUCCUCCUGGAUGUCCACGUGACGCUGGCACAUCUGCACUGCUCACUGCUCUCUCCUCUUCCUUCUCCCCAAAGCCUUCUGCCCCUCUGUGUUCCCUGUCUUGAUAAAUGACACCACCUGCCAGGGACCCAGAGAGGCCUCAUUCCUGACUCUUCCACGUGCCCGCUCUCCAUCUGUUCUGCCCCAAAUACCUUUUAAACCGUCCACUCCUCUCCAUACCCAUCGCGCCUCACGCAGUCCAGGCCACAUCACCUCUCCCCUGCCUUACUCCAGCAGCUGCCAGACUCUUCUCUCCAUUUGUAACCAGAGUGAUCUUUCAGAAACCCAGUAUGAUCCUGUUACCACCACCCCGUCACAGCCAGUCCCUGGUGCCCAUGAUUGAAGGAGUGUUUGUACGACAGAAUAGCACAAGAAACUGUGGAUGAAACUGAAAUUGCACAGAGACUCUCCAAAGUCAACAAGUACAUCUGUGAAAAAAUCAUGGAUAUCAAU